This is a long non-coding RNA of Columba livia (rock pigeon), 361 nucleotides long. RefSeq lists it as uncharacterized. NCBI's taxonomy places the organism in Eukaryota, Metazoa, Chordata, Aves, Columbiformes, Columbidae. The record is from RefSeq and is a predicted model, not a curated record. The transcript has 2 exons.
GCACGGACUGUUCUUGAGCAUGAAGGAGGCAGCCCUGAAGAUCCACCAGCUCUCCUGAACCCCUCUUCUCUCCAGGGUCACCUCCCAGGUGAUUCUUCCAAGCAGAUUCCUGAACAGGAAGUCCAGGGUUGUGAUCUUGCUAUUUGCCUCAUUCCUUCUUUGUUUCUGACCUUCGCAUCCCUGAUCAGCUCUUCUUUCAGACACCAGGAUGACUGAAGUCUUCCACAAGGACCUGGGCCUGUAUACAUGAGGCUUCUUCCAGUUGUCUGAAAAAGGUUUUAACUGUCAUUUGCUGGGACUUUGACAUACUUUCCAAAAGAUGGUGUUAUCUAUAUAAACAUACAAAAAAGGAUUGUUCCAA